AAAAGAUAUAAAUUUGACAAGAGAAGUUAUGGUAGGCCUGAUACGAGGAAAGCAUAGGAAGGAAGUCUGUACGACAUGUUAGACGUGCGAUCGGCAUAAAGAUUUGGUCUAAAAACAGACUUGGUGUGGGAAAUGUUUAGAAAGGUGAAAGGCAUAGACAAGUGAUUGCCCGGGUAGAUUUGACUCCGGACAGUUAUAGACAAGAAGUUUCCCGGGUAGAUUUGACUCGGGACAGUUAUAGAUAAGACGUUUCCCGUUAGAUUUGACUCCGGACAGUUUUAGACAAGAAGUUUCCCGGGUAGAUUUGACUUUGGACAGUUAUAGACAAAAAGUUUCCCGGAUAGAUUUGACAGGGGGCAGUUAUAGACAAGAAGUUCCCAGGGUAGAUUUGACUCGGGACAGUUAUAGACAAGAAGUUCCACGGGUAGAUUUGACUCGGGACAGUUAUAGACAAGACGUUUCCCGUUAGAUUUGACUCUGCACAGUUAUAGACAAAAAGUUUCCCGGAUAGAUUUGACAGGGGGCAGUUAUAGACAAGAAGUUCCCCGGGUAGAUUUGACACGGGACAUUUAUAGACAAGAAGUUCCCCUGGUAGAUUUGACAGGGGACAGUUAUAGACAAGAAGUUUCCCGAGUAGAUUUGACUCGGGACAGUUAUAGACAAGAAGUUCUCCGGGUAGUUUUGACUCAGGACAGGUAUAGACAAGUGAUUUCCCGGGUAGUUUUGACUCGGGACAGUUAUAGACGAGUAGUUCCCCGCGUAGAUUUGACUCGGGACAGUUAUAGACGAGUAGUUCCCCGCGUAGAUUUGACUCGGGACAGUUAUAGACAAGACGUUUCCCGGGUAGAUUUGACUCCGGACAGUUAUAGACAAGAAGUUCCCCGGGUAGAUUUGACUCAGGACAGGUAUAGACAAGUGAUUUCCCGGGUAGAUUUGACUCCGGACAGUUAUAGACAAGAAGUUCUCCGGGUAGAUUUGACUCAGGACAGGUAUAGACAAGUGAUUUCCCUGGUAGAUUUGACUCGGGACAGUUAUAGACAAGUAGUUCCCUGGUAGAUUUGACUCGGGACAGUUAUAGAAGUGAUUUCCCUGGUAGUUUUGACUCGGGACAGUUAUAGACGAGUAGUUCCCCGCGUAGAUUUGACUCGGGACAGUUAUAGACAAGUGAUUUCCCUGGUAGAUUUGACUCGAGACAGUUAUAGACAAGAAGUUCCCCGGGUAGAUUUGACUCGGGACAGGUAUAGACAAGUGAUUUCCCGUACAGAAAAUAUAAAAACAGCGACCCCAUAGACAAGUGGCCCCUAAAGCAGGUUUAUGGUGGUAAAGGUCCAACAUGCGGUCCCUUAAGCAAUGCCAAUGGGGAAAAGGAUUUCAGAAAAUGAUGCUACAAAGGUUGGAAGUUGGAAUAGUAUAGACCAAUGUUUUCAUAGAAAUAUGGCAUGGUGAAAUAUAACUCACUAAAAGCCAGACCUGACAGAAAUAAGCAAUAGUUCCAAGCAUUGGACUUCUUCUGUCUUGCGUUGAUCGUUUGAUAUUUAAACAUAGGGGGUAGACCUAUACAAUACUGUGUAGGAAGUUACCUCCCCUAGUUCAUGGUUCUCUCCACUCAGAAAACAGGUCCCGGUAAAUAAAAAAAAACAUAAGUGUUCAUUUUAACGGAUUAUUUUUAUCCAAUUUCAAAAGCGUGUAUCUGGGAAUAUUGUGGAAGUUACUGAUUCGAUCAAACUCUAUGGUAAAACAAGGGAAUUUCGAGUUAACAGUAUGGCGGUCGAGUGAUAUCGGAGUUUCAUGUAGCAAACACACAGAUUGUCUCAAUUGAAAGGUGUUCAGUGUAUAAACAUGUGUUUUUUUCAGAUACAAAAAAAAUGUAGGUGUUCAGUAUAAAUAAAUGGUCGCCAGUCAAUGUUCACAUUCGAAUUCGAUAUUUCAACACAAAAUUCAAAAAUUGAGAAAAGCUCAACAUUAUUCAUAGAACAAAUGGGUUGUCUAUCGAACCGCACCAGGAAAUCUUUAGUAUCUACUCGACGCCGUGUUGGCACAACCUUAUUGGAACAUAUACUUCCCUAAACACAUGGGAGGUAUUGUAUGGCACAUAUACGGCGAUUGUAACUCACAUAAAGAAAUGCGGGCUCGACAUUUCUGGUUUACGAUGCCCAGAUAAUGUGCUUCCACAAUAGUGCAGAUGAAAAGGCAUUGAGAUACGGAAAAAGCAGAAAGAGGCUUGGUAGAAUGUGUUCCCGGAGACACGACUCUCGUAUGUUACAUUCCUUACCCAGGUAAACGGCUCAGUUGAAAUCUUAUCAUCUCUGCAAUAUCCAGACUUUCUAAACACGAUGCACAUAAUAUUCCAUUUACCGGUUGGUAUUAUUUCAAGUUUAAUUGUGUUCUUUUGUUAGCUUCGUAUUUAGGAAAUGAUGAGUUAUUUUUCAUCCUUCAAUAUGAUUUAUUUUUUAAUAUUAUCAUUUGCCGACUUUAAUCAUGAUGUAUUAUUUAAAACACUUGGAGUCUAAUUAAACAUAAUUAAAAGUGAAAAAAAAAAAAUCUUGGGAGAUUUACAUUAGAAAUAAAGGCAAAGUUAACCGAUAAAUUCGUGAAUAUUGAAGUUUAACAGGAGUUGUGCCAAAAAAGAAAUGCUCACUAAAAUCAAUAUGAAGAGCUAAAGACCCCAGAAACUGAUAAAUAUCAACACUCCUCCAAUGAAAAUGCUGCAGGAAAAGAUAUAUUCCUGUAGAGUCAUCGUUUCUUGAACGGCAUGUGGCACCCGUCUGAUGUCACAAUGACCUCUCAGAGACAAUAUAUAUAUCUAUAUAUUAGUUCAAUGCAAAUGAUUCGUCUAAUUUGAAAUGCAGGGAUUCUGAAUAUUUAUUUCGUUUGAUUAACCAGUGGAUUUAGGAGCCGUAUAACUUGAUUUCGCUGCUUCUUAGACUUUAGAAUCAACAUGGUCUUCAUCAUUGGAUCAUUAAAGUUGUCCCUUCCUAAUUUAAAGUUUCCUGUCAACAUAGCUUUGUGUGUCAGAGAAUGAAUGUCGGGAGAAACCUUUAUUUCUGUAUAUUGUAAAUAUUCAUUUAUGAAACAAUACGUUUCUUUUACAUUUUAGAAUAACAAUAAAAUAUUUUUGUACUC
Pecten maximus is the source of this 3123-nucleotide long non-coding RNA. RefSeq lists it as uncharacterized. The transcript has 2 exons. The record is from RefSeq and is a predicted model, not a curated record. Lineage: Eukaryota; Metazoa; Mollusca; Bivalvia; Pectinida; Pectinidae.